CGGAGGAUCCAAGCGUUAUCCGGAAUCAUUGGGUUUAAGGGGUCCGUAGGCGGGUUUAUAAGUCAGUGGUGAAAGCCCAUCGCUCAACGAUGGAACGGCCAUUGAUACUGUAGAUCUUGAAUUAUUAGGAAGUAACUAGAAUAUGUAGUGUAGCGGUGAAAUGCUUAGAGAUUACAUGGAAUACCAAUUGCGAAGGCAGGUUACUACUAAUGGAUUGACGCUGAUGGACGAAAGCGUGGGUAGCGAACAGGAUUAGAUACCCUGGUAGUCCACGCCGUAAACGAUGGAUACUAGCUGUUCGGAGCAAUCUGAGUGGCUAAGCGAAAGUGAUAAGUAUCCCACCUGGGGAGUACGUUCGCAAGAAUG
This 366-nucleotide ribosomal RNA is filed under the name uncultured organism. RNAcentral describes it as "bacterial SSU rRNA". It matches the Rfam family "Bacterial small subunit ribosomal RNA", at positions 526 to 896 of the family's 1533-position model. The record is from RNAcentral.